Molecule: ribosomal RNA, 405 nt
Filed under: uncultured bacterium
Lineage: Bacteria
Description: partial 16S ribosomal RNA
Rfam family: Bacterial small subunit ribosomal RNA
Source: RNAcentral
AUUGAACGCUGGCGGCAGGCCUAACACAUGCAAGUCGAACGAGUGGCGGACGGGUGAGUAAUGUCUGGGAAACUGCCCGAUGGAGGGGGAUAACUACUGGAAACGGUAGCUAAUACCGCAUACCAUCGGAUGUGCCCAGAUGGGAUUAGCUAGUAGGUGGGGUAACGGCUCACCUAGGCGACGAUCCCUAGCUGGUCUGAGAGGAUGACCGGCCACACUGGAACUAGACAACGGUCAAGAUCCCAACGGAAGGCAGCAGUGGGGAAUAUUGCACAAUGGGGGAAAGCCUGAUGCAGCCAUGCCGCGUGUAUGAAGAAGGCCUUCGGGUUGUAAAGUACUUUCAGCGAGGAGGCGUUACUCGCAGAAGAAGCACCGGCGAACUCCGUGCCAGCAGCCGCGGUAAUA